UCGAUUUCCUUCAUGGCUUCAUUUGACCACAUAAAAUUCAAUUACUGCGUGUAAUACUCCCCAUUAGCUUAAGAUCUUUACUAUUUGAAGGAAACUAUUCUACAUAAUUUUCUACUCAAACAAGCACUGUAAUAAUGAUAAAAGCAAAACUAAUUUUAACAGAUAAAGAACUUUUUGGCUUAACAGGCUGAGUGGUAAAUCAUUCCUCAAAAAAUGAACAGAGGAACAUAAAUCUGCACCAUUGCAAAGCGAUCUAACAUUUAAAAUAAAUAUAUAAACUAGCAUUCACAUCUCAAAGCAAAGUGAAAAAAAAAAAAUUACGCUCAGAACUUAAAAGCAUCAGUAUGUCCACAUAUCAAACAACAAGAAACAAACCUGUUUGUUGCAAAUAUUGAAAUAUAUAUUGAAAAUACUCCCCAUUAGCUUAAGAUCUUUACUAUUUGAAGGAAACUAUUCUACAUAAUUUUCUACUCAAACAAGCACUGUAAUAUUGAUAAAAGCAAAACUAAUUUUAACAGACAAAGAACUUUUUGGCUUAACAGGCUGAGUGGUAAAUCAUUCCUCAAAAAAUGAACAGAGGAACAUAAAUCUGCACCAUUGCAAAGCGAUCUAACAUGUAAAAUAAAUAUAUAAACUGGCAUUCACA
Molecule: long non-coding RNA, 646 nt
Filed under: Manihot esculenta (cassava)
Lineage: Eukaryota; Viridiplantae; Streptophyta; Magnoliopsida; Malpighiales; Euphorbiaceae
Description: long non-coding RNA (MESC_LNC003588)
Source: RNAcentral